RNAcentral lists this ribosomal RNA (451 nucleotides) under uncultured bacterium. RNAcentral describes it as "bacterial SSU rRNA". It matches the Rfam family "Bacterial small subunit ribosomal RNA", at positions 354 to 796 of the family's 1533-position model. The record is from RNAcentral.
GUCGGGAAUUUUGGGCAAUGGGCGAAAGCCUGACCCAGCAACGCCGCGUGAGGGAUGAAGGCCUUCGGGUCGUAAACCUCUGUCGGGAGGGACGAAAGGCGCGCGGGUGAACAAUCCGCGUACUUGACGGUACCUCCAAAGGAAGCGCCGGCUAACUCCGUGCCAGCAGCCGCGGUAAUACGGAGGGCGCAAGCGUUGUUCGGAAUUACUGGGCGUAAAGCGCGUGUAGGCGGCCAGGUAAGUCGGGUGUGAAAUCCCGGGGCCCAACCCCGGAACUGCACCCGAUACUGCCCGGCUGGAGUCCCGGAGAGGAUGGCGGAAUUUCCGGUGUAGAGGUGAAAUUCGUAGAUAUCGGAAGGAACACCAGUGGCGAAGGCGGCCAUCUGGACGGUGACUGACGCUGAGACGCGAAAGCGUGGGGAGCAAACAGGAUUAGAUACCCGGGUAGUCC